This 397-nucleotide ribosomal RNA is filed under the name uncultured Pseudomonas sp. RNAcentral's name for it is "bacterial SSU rRNA". It matches the Rfam family "Bacterial small subunit ribosomal RNA", at positions 987 to 1382 of the family's 1533-position model. The record is from RNAcentral. Lineage: Bacteria; Pseudomonadati; Pseudomonadota; Gammaproteobacteria; Pseudomonadales; Pseudomonadaceae.
UGCAGAGAACUUUCCAGAGAUGGAUUGGUUGCCUUCGGGAACGUCUGACACAGGUGCUGCAUGGCUGUCGCCAGCUCGUGUCGUGAGAUGUUGGGUUAAGUCCGUAACGAGCGCAACCCUUGUCCUUAGUUACCAGCACGUUAUGGUGGGCACUCUAAGGAGACUGCCGGUGACAAACCGGAGGAAGGUGGGGAUGACGUCAAGUCAUCAUGGCCCUUACGGCCUGGGCUACACACGUGCUACAAUGGUCGGUACAAAGGGUUGCCAAGCCGCGAGGUGGAGCUAAUCCCAUAAAACCGAUCGUAGUCCGGAUCGCAGUCUGCAACUCGACUGCGUGAAGUCGGAAUCGCUAGUAAUCGUGAAUCAGAAUGUCACGGUGAAUACGUUCCCGGGCCUU